UAAAGAUUCAUCGCUGAUAGAUAGGCAUGCGUUCCAUUAGGCAGUUGGCGGGGUAACGGCCCACCAAACCGACGAUGGAUAGGGGUUCUGAGAGGAAGGUCCCCCACAUUGGUACUGAGACACGGACCAAACUCCUACGGGAGGCAGCAGUGAGGAAUAUUGGUCAAUGGGCGUAAGCCUGAACCAGCCAAGUCGCGUGAGGGAUGAAGGUCCUAUGGAUCGUAAACCUCUUUUAUAAGGGAAUAAAGUGUGGGACGUGUCCUGUUUUGUAUGUACCUUAUGAAUAAGGAUCGGCUAACUCCGUGCCAGCAGCCGCGGUAAUACGGAGGAUCCGAGCGUUAUCCGGAUUUAUUGGGUUUAAAGGGUGCGUAGGCGGCCUUUUAAGUCAGCGGUGAAAGUCUGUGGCUCGACCAUAGAAUUGCCGUUGAAACUGGGAGGCUUGAGUAUGUUUGAGGCAGGCGGAAUGCGUGGUGUAGCGGUGAAAUGCUUAGAUAUCACGCAGGACCCCGAUUGCGAAGGCAGCCUGCCAAGCCAUGACUGACGCUGAUGCACGAAAGCGUGGGGAUCAAACAGGAUUAGAUACCCUGGUAGUCCACGCAGUA
RNAcentral lists this ribosomal RNA (602 nucleotides) under uncultured bacterium. Its description in RNAcentral is "bacterial SSU rRNA". It matches the Rfam family "Bacterial small subunit ribosomal RNA", at positions 202 to 804 of the family's 1533-position model. The record is from RNAcentral.